RNAcentral lists this ribosomal RNA (525 nucleotides) under uncultured fungus. Its description in RNAcentral is "eukaryotic LSU rRNA". The stretch from base 164 to 317 matches the Rfam family "5.8S ribosomal RNA". The record is from RNAcentral. Lineage: Eukaryota; Fungi.
UACCGAGUUUUCACUCCCAAACCCUUAUGUGAACCUACCUAUCGUUGCUUCGGCGGACUCGCCCCAGCCGGACGCGGACUGGACCAGCGGCCGCCGGGGACCAUCAAACUCUUAUAUUAUCAGCAUCUUCUGAAUACGCCGCAAGGCAAAACAAAUAAAUUAAAACUUUCAACAACGGAUCUCUUGGCUCUGGCAUCGAUGAAGAACGCAGCGAAAUGCGAUAAGUAAUGUGAAUUGCAGAAUCCAGUGAAUCAUCGAAUCUUUGAACGCACAUUGCGCCCGCCAGCAUUCUGGCGGGCAUGCCUGUUCGAGCGUCAUUUCAACCCUCGACCUCCCUUUGGGGAAGUCGGCGUUGGGGACCGGCAGCACACCGCCGGCCCUGAAAUGGAGUGGCGGCCCGUCCGCGGCGACCUCUGCGUAGUAAACCAACUCGCACCGGAACCCCGACGUGGCCACGCCGUAAAACACCCAACUUCUGAACGUUGACCUCGAAUCAGGUAGGACUACCCGCUGAACUUAAGCAUA